Phascolarctos cinereus (koala) is the source of this 799-nucleotide long non-coding RNA. RefSeq lists it as uncharacterized. The record is from RefSeq and is a predicted model, not a curated record. Lineage: Eukaryota; Metazoa; Chordata; Mammalia; Diprotodontia; Phascolarctidae.
CGCGUCCCUCUUCCUUUCUGGUACAGUAGGUGUAGAGCAGAGGGAAGAAGACUGCUGUAGACGGAGAGCUGAACCUGACUUCUCUUCAUUGAGUGUUCCUAUUGAAGUUUAGAAACACAGUUGAGCUACCAAGACCUUCCUUCAUAAUAGAGAAUUCCUGAUUUCCUGAUCUCUCAGACUGAAACAACAUUGCUUUAAAAAAAAUCUUUGAAACUAAAGCUUGGCUCUAAUGAAGUUCAUGAAAGGAAUAAGAUACUGAGGAGAUUUGCUAAAUAUGCAGAUAAUCAGCAUGGAGGCUCUGUAGAGCUUCAGUUUGGUAGGCAGAUGGAUACUUCUUCCCUCCUGUGCUUUCUUUUGGAGCCUGCCAAACACUGAGCUAGCUCUGGCAAGAUGUGCAUCAACCUCAUCAUCUAUGCGGACGUCCCAGCAGAAUGUACUACAAAGACAUUAUUAUCUCUUACUUAGAGAGAAAAUGGCUACAGACCACAAGAUGGCUUACUCAGAAGAGGAAUGCAAAAAAAAAGUCAACAGUGGGUUUUAUAUUUGCUGCUGGAGGUAAUAGUGGCUAGAUGGAGCAGUAGAUGGAGCCCUUCCCCCCACCUGGAGUCAAGAAGACAUCUUUUUGAAUCUGGCCUCAAAUACUUCCUAGCUGUAUGACCCUAGAGAGAAGGACCAGUGUUGUAUGCUUGGGAUGGACUAAUUAUUUCUGCGAUUAUCUCAUCUCCCAGAAGAUCACUUUCUCCAAAGACACGUUUUCUUUAUGAAAGGAAAUAAGCAAAAUUAAAAAAGAAUUAUAUCA